RNAcentral lists this ribosomal RNA (440 nucleotides) under uncultured bacterium. Its description in RNAcentral is "partial 16S ribosomal RNA". It matches the Rfam family "Bacterial small subunit ribosomal RNA", at positions 338 to 795 of the family's 1533-position model. The record is from RNAcentral.
CCUACGGGAGGCAGCAGUGGGGGAUAUUGCACAAUGGGGGAAACCCUGAUGCAGCGACGCCGCGUGAGUGAAGAAGGAAUUCGGAUUGUAAAGCACUGUUAUUGGUGAAGAAAAUGACGGUAACCAAGGAGGAAGCUCCGGCUAACUACGUGCCAGCAGCCGCGGUAAUACGUAGGGGGCAAGCGUUGUCCGGAUUUACUGGGUGUAAAGGGUGCGUAGGCGGUCGUGCAAGUCUGACGUGAAAGCCGCGGGCUCAACCUGUGGACUGCGUUUGAAACUGUGGGGCUUGAGUGAAGGAGAGGUAGGCGGAAUUCCCGGUGUAGCGGUGAAAUGCGUAGAGAUCGGGAGGAACACCAGUGGCGAAGGCGGCCUACUGGACUUUAACUGACGCUGAGGCACGAAAGCGUGGGUAGCAAACAGGAUUAGAUACCCGAGUAGUC